Molecule: long non-coding RNA, 375 nt
Filed under: Nicotiana benthamiana
Lineage: Eukaryota; Viridiplantae; Streptophyta; Magnoliopsida; Solanales; Solanaceae
Description: long non-coding RNA (NBEN_LNC022865)
Source: RNAcentral
AAAGAAUAAGAUAUUGACAUUUGAAUCCAAAAAAUCAACAUAAUAUUGAACAUUUCGUAACUGGAUUAUUUUACAAAUGGAUUUACUUUAAAGUCUCACGGUGAAAGUGUACACUAAAUAACAGACCGACAACCUUGACAUCUGCCUAAAAACCUAAAUAAUGACGGGUAACAGGGGUGCAAUACAGCUUCUCAGGCCUCCCAUCUGUAGUUAUUGAACGUAACAACAAGUAUGACAUCUAAUUUGCUCCUCAUUUUUUUCUGGUCACAUAGUCCCUGUUCAAAUGCAAAUUAUAUACAGCACAGACCUGUGAACUGGAUCAUUACCACAAGUGUAUGAAUCAAUGGAAGCCACUUUUUCGCAUGUAUUGGAAAA